This 492-nucleotide ribosomal RNA is filed under the name uncultured bacterium. RNAcentral's name for it is "partial 16S ribosomal RNA". It matches the Rfam family "Bacterial small subunit ribosomal RNA", at positions 29 to 507 of the family's 1533-position model. The record is from RNAcentral.
AGUGAACGCUGGCGGUAGGCCUAACACAUGCAAGUCGAACGGCAGCACAGUAAGAGCUUGCUCUUACGGGUGGCGAGUGGCGGACGGGUGAGGAAUACAUCGGAAUCUACUUUUUCGUGGGGGAUAACGUAGGGAAACUUACGCUAAUACCGCAUACGACCUACGGGGGAAAGCAGGGGAUCUUCGGACCUUGCGCGAUUGAAUGAGCCGAAGUCGGAUUAGCUAGUUGGCGGGGUAAAGGCCCACCAAGGCGACGAUCCGUAGCUGGUCUGAGAGGCUGAUCAGCCACACUGGAACUGAGACACGGUCCAGACUCCUACGGGAGGCAGCAGUGGGGAAUAUUGGACAAUGGGCGCAAGCCUGAUCCAGCCAUGCCGCGUGGGUGAAGAAGGCCUUCGGGUUGUAAAGCCCUUUUGUUAGGAAAGAAAAGCAGCAGGUUAAUACCCCGCUGUUCUGACGGUACCCAAAGAAUAAGCACCGGCUAACUUCGUG